GCCCCCGUAUCCCAACGGCAGAGGAAGGCGCCUUAAAAGCGCCGCAGUGUGGGUUCGAGUCCCACCGGGGGCA
Molecule: transfer RNA, 73 nt
Filed under: Nocardioides sp.
Lineage: Bacteria; Bacillati; Actinomycetota; Actinomycetes; Propionibacteriales; Nocardioidaceae
Also listed under: 4 other names
Description: tRNA-Leu
Rfam family: tRNA
About the family: Transfer RNA (tRNA) molecules are approximately 80 nucleotides in length.
Source: RNAcentral